UGCACUUGGCGGGUGCGCGCGCUCCAAUUGCUUUGCUUGGGCAAUUGCUACUGUGUACACCACGAAUACGCUCGCAUAAACAGUCCCACUCACGCGCGUGUGAGACAACCUUCACGUUGCUUGAGGGUCGAGAAAGUGUGAAUCGAAUCCACACACGGGUAAGCGACCAUCAUUUUCUGCCUAAUGCAGCUCGAUGACUGGUGCACGUAUCGCGAGACACUGCUCUACGCACGAGAGCUAGCCGUGCUUCUCCCGUCGUCGUGGAGUGGAUUGCCGAGUGAGCAGUCGGCGACAAAGGCGUCCUCGUCGCUGUCACAUUCUAGUUCGUUGCCGUCUCUUGCGUUCGUGAAGCGAGUGGAAGCGCCUUUGCUGACGCAAUGGAUGACGGCGGCGGCAGCGGCACCCGUCACUUGCCAUUGUAGCAGUGCAGGUGACGGUGACGAAGACAUGGAUCAUGCCACUGCCGUCGUAGCGGCGCGUUGGACGAGGAUGCUGGGCAUAUGGAUCGUCUUGCGAGUAGAGCUCCUGUGCAACACAAGUGGGGGAGUGCUGACUCUCGAGGAAGAGUACGAAGUAGGACGCUACAGGCAGUAUUUCAUGCCCCUUGCGUGGCCGGUGCUGGAUCAAAGCAUUCGAGAACGGCUCGCUUCGCAUUUGUGCACAUUGGCAGAGAAACGGGGGGCGAGCCAGUCAAUGGGCGGCACCAGCUGCGCCAGUGACAUGGCUGCCUCUUCCUCCUGCGGCACCCUUCUCAGGAAGGAUGAGGAAGACGAACAGGCGUGUGAUGAGGUGUGCACGCGAGCUAUGGAGGCUACCCAGCGUGUGGCGCGCGAGCAGCUCCGCAUCAGCUGGGACGCGUUGCACCCCAGCAGUAUUCCUGCUACGGUAGGCACCAAGCUGAAACGGCUUUCCGUGCAGCAGAGUCGACACCAUGAAUCUGAAACUGGCUCUUCACCGCGACCAGUCGUAGUGCACACCAACUGUCUUGGUGGCCUCCUACACGCUCUGAUACGUUUUCGGCUUCGGCCGCAACGGCGACAUUCAGACCACGGCUCGGCGCCGUGGCUGAACUUAACGCAGAAUGCACUCCUUCACAUUGGCUACGACCUGCUAACCAAAGUGAGGUCGUCCGUGAUCGAGCGCUGCUACUACCUUAUCCCCGCCCUGCUCGACUAUGAGUCGUGCUUACUCUUUUGCGAGGCGACACUGAAGGAGAGCGCAGCAUUGCAGGCGCAUGAGAGGGAACUAACGAGGACGCAGAGCAUCUUGCGGCUCACUCUGCAGAGUUUACUGCAGUCUGCCCUCGGCAUGUAUAGGCGUGUCAUUGAUGCCUUGUUGGUCGACUACAAGAAGAGCGCUUGCAGGUCGUCUGCAGGUUCUACUCCACGACUUGUGAAGGUGACGGCACCUCUGUCGCCGGCGAACCCGCUUGUCGCUCGAGAAGCCGCACAAAAGCAGUACGCACCCGAUGCCGUCGUUCCGUUGGAACCACCAACCCACCCGGGCGCUGCUGAUGGACUCAGUGCAUCAACGGUGAUGCGGCUCUCUGAACCCGCUUUUUCUAUCCUGGUGGAAGUGCUGGAGCCGACUUGUGAUCUACUGCAACGCUACCCCGCGGACUGGAAUGUCCUCUCGACCAGGUCGCUCACAGGCCCCGAUGGGCGCGACCAGUGUGUGACUCCUGGUGGCCACACAGCAAGGGAAAGGGGACUGCUCUCGCCUUCAUCCCGCAGGCAGCACCAGGUGAGCCAGCAGCCACAGCGCUCUACUGCCAUGGAUGUGCGAAGAGAGGUAGUGUCUUUUCUUGACUCAGAGGUGCCCAACUGCUUUGCCGCUGCUGCGGCAGGGUCUGGAGCGGCCUCCAAGAAGGCGCAGCAGCAGGCAGCCGCAGAUGCAUACCUUACGGCUACAUACCUCUCCACGUAUGGGCCACACUGGCUAUAAGCGGAGGCAGAGAAGCACGCGAUCCUCUGCACCCGUUUGAGGCAAGCCGGCCCUCUCCUCGUUGCUAUCAAGCUGCUUCAUACGUAUGCGCUGAAUACGGGACAUACAAGAAAGAAAUAAAACCUCUUCACAGCUCCCCUCCUCCCCCUCACACACACACGAAAAAAAAAAAACAGCGUUGAUACACGUUAGAGGGGGUGAAAUGGCUCUCUGUUACGCUUUUUCUUGAGUGUGUGUCUCUUGAUCGGCAGCCAACAUGCGAAGUGGUCUCCCCUCUCACUUUUAAGCUUUC
This 2236-nucleotide unclassified non-coding RNA is filed under the name Leishmania donovani. RNAcentral describes it as "gene:LdHU3.35.4560(CDS-product:hypothetical_prote in_conserved)". The record is from RNAcentral. Lineage: Eukaryota; Euglenozoa; Kinetoplastea; Trypanosomatida; Trypanosomatidae.